UGGGGUGCAGAGACGUUUGCAUAUCGACGCAUAUUGGUGGAGUGUGGAGGUCCAGAGAUGUCUGGACUAGCGACGCAUAUUAUAUUAUCGUAUAUCCGUAUGAGGAGAAUGCGGGGUGUAUGGACUAGCUAUGUACCAUCACCGUAUUGUUUGUUUUGUGUGAUGCGUUAGACAUCUUGUUUGUUCAUGCUAGAACUAUGCGUACAUAGUCGUAGUGCUAUAUUCUGAGUCAGUGGUUUGCGGUUUAGCAUCCCAUACCUCACUGGGUGACUCCCCUGUUGC
This 282-nucleotide long non-coding RNA is filed under the name Brassica napus (rape). Its description in RNAcentral is "long non-coding RNA (BNAP_LNC025328)". The record is from RNAcentral. Lineage: Eukaryota; Viridiplantae; Streptophyta; Magnoliopsida; Brassicales; Brassicaceae.